AAGGCGGCAAAGGCGACGGAAUGGAGGAGGUGCCUCACGGUGAGCUCGCGGAGGGGGCGUGGGUGGCGGGGCGAAAGUGUCACGAGCUGCUCUAACUGUGGUCUUGUCUCUGCGCAGACUGUCCAGGGGCCGACAGCGCCCAGGCGGGCAGAGGGGCUUCAUGUCAGGGAUGCCCCAACCAGCGGCUGUGCGCUUCUGGAGCAGGGGCCACUCCAGACCCGGCUAUAGAGGAAAUCAAAGAGAAAAUGAAGACCGUAAAACACAAAAUCUUGGUAUUGUCUGGGAAAGGCGGUGUUGGGAAAAGCACAUUCAGCGCCCACCUUGCCCGUGGCCUAGCAGAGGAUGAAAACACACAGAUUGCUCUUCUAGACAUCGAUAUAUGUGGGCCAUCGAUUCCCAAGAUAAUGGGAUUGGAAGGAGAGCAGGCAUGAUCAAGCAGUUCCUCCGAGAUGUGGACUGGGGAGAGGUUGACUACCUCAUUGUGGACACCCCACCUGGAACGUCGGAUGAACACCUCUCAGUCGUCCAGUACCUGGCCGCGGCACACAUCGAUGGAGCAGUGAUCAUCACCACUCCCCAGGAGGUGUCACUCCAGGAUGUCCGGAAAGAAAUCAACUUCUGCCGCAAGGUGAAGCUGCCCAUCAUCGGGGUGGUGGAGAACAUGAGUGGCUUCAUCUGUCCUAAAUGCAAGAAAGAAUCUCAGAUAUUCCCUCCCACAACCGGGGGCGCGGAGCUCAUGUGCCAGGACUUGGAGGUCCCUCUCCUCGGCAGAGUGCCCCUGGAUCCACUCAUAGGUGGGUGACCCCGGUGUGGGGCGGGACCUCACUCCUCGGUCAGCCCCACAGGCAUGGGUCGGGCACAACAGGGGGCGGCUAUGGAGAGGGGCAAUGGAAGGAGGGUCAAUGGGGCACUGGAGCCAGACCCACCCUCCAGCUGGCACCCCAAGAGGCCACCGGGAGAGAGGCCGAGACCCCUGCGGGCAGAUAGCGGGAGCAAACAGGCCUCAGGCAGAGGGGUGAGGCUUGGAAGAAUGGGGUAGAAGUU
This 1044-nucleotide small RNA is filed under the name Pongo abelii (Sumatran orangutan). Its description in RNAcentral is "retained intron". The record is from RNAcentral. Lineage: Eukaryota; Metazoa; Chordata; Mammalia; Primates; Hominidae.